GACGAACCAAGCGAACGUUAUUCGGAAUUACUGGGCGUAAAGCGUGCGUAGGCGGUUUGUUAAGUCUGUCGUGAAAGCCCCGGGCUCAACCUGGGAAUGGCGAUGGAUACUGGCAAGCUAGAGUGUGUCAGAGGAUGGUGGAAUUCCCGGUGUAGCGGUGAAAUGCGUAGAGAUCGGGAGGAACACCAGUGGCGAAGGCGGCCAUCUGGGACAACACUGACGCUGAGGCACGAAAGCGUGGGGAGCAAACAGG
RNAcentral lists this ribosomal RNA (253 nucleotides) under uncultured bacterium. RNAcentral's name for it is "partial 16S ribosomal RNA". It matches the Rfam family "Bacterial small subunit ribosomal RNA", at positions 524 to 776 of the family's 1533-position model. The record is from RNAcentral.